Molecule: long non-coding RNA, 743 nt
Organism: Cyprinus carpio carpio
Lineage: Eukaryota; Metazoa; Chordata; Actinopteri; Cypriniformes; Cyprinidae
Source: Ensembl
CUCAGAAAGGAAAGCAGAUAUGAAUGCAGUCUCAAACUCAAUCCAAGUGGUUAUGCUGGACCGUCUGACUUCCCACCAGUCUCGUGCUGUUCCGUACAAGACAGUACGGAAGGUAGCCAGGAUGUCUGCAUCUGUCAGGGGAUGUACAUCCAAAAAAUCCUGACAUUUGGUUAGGUACAAUAGGGGGUCUGCAUCGUCUGAAGGCCUUCCAAAUGUGGGGAAGGUUAAUUUAAUAUGGUCACUUUUAACCACAGAUGUUAACAGAGGGGUUGAAGAAGUUGAAGGAGUCACUGGAGCAGAAGGAGAUGGCUGGGAUGAAAUACUGGUAGUGCUGGGACCUGGUGCUGUCAGUACACUUAAUUUUUGUUGAUCUGCACUUUUUUAACACUUUGAAAUCCUUUCUCCACUUCACUUUUCAACUCUUUGAAACCGUAUUUUGAACAGCUUUGAUGUCCUGCUGAACCUCUGCUUGGAGUUGAUCAACCAUGAAUCGUAGUUCGGACACCAAGCAAGAUCAGCAAUCUGGCUCUGGUGCUGAGAAGAGGUAUCUUUCACUUCCUGGGAGUUGGUAGAAUGUUGGGCAGGUCAUGUUGUGCCACUGACGAAGGAGUUCCACCUUCAGAAGAGGUGCAAAGUUGCAUGUUAUCUACUUGUGUUGCCCAGGUGAGAGUUUGUACUGGAGUGCUCCCAGCCAGAGCAGGAGAAGACAUGUGUACACGGGUUCCAGGAUGAACAGAACUGAG